Molecule: ribosomal RNA, 1559 nt
Filed under: Megaladapis edwardsi
Lineage: Eukaryota; Metazoa; Chordata; Mammalia; Primates; Lepilemuridae
Description: 16S ribosomal RNA
Rfam family: Bacterial large subunit ribosomal RNA
Source: RNAcentral
ACUAAAGCUAGCCCGACCCUAUCUAAAACUAACAAGCCCAUAAUCCUAAAUCAAAACAUUUACCAAAACAUUAAUAGUAUAGGAGAUAGAAAUUUUACUCGGCGCUAUAGAAAUAGUACCGUAAGGGAAAGAUGAAAGAAUACCUAAAAGUACAUAAAAGCAAAGCUCACACCUUGUACCUUUUGCAUAAUGACUUAACCAGAAUAACUUGACAAAAAGAAUUUUAGCCAAGAUCCCCGAAACCAGACGAGCUACUCAUGGACAGUUACAAAAGAACGCACUCGUCUAUGUAGCAAAAUAGUGAGAAGAUCUAUGAGUAGAGGUGAGAAGCCUACCGAGCCUGGUGAUAGCUGGUUGUCCGAGAGAGAAUUUUAGUUCAACUUUAAAUUAACCCAAAAUAAUCUUAAACCUCAUGUAAAUUUAAAUGUUACUCUAAAGAGGGACAGCUCUUUAGAACAGGCUACAACCUUUAGUAGAGAGUAAAAAAUUUAACCUCCAUAGUAGGCCUAAAAGCAGCCACCAAUUAAGAAAGCGUCAAAGCUCAACAUAAUAUUUACCUCAAUUCCAAACCUCCAAUCCACCUCCUACUAAUCAACCGGACCAAUCUAUAGCCCAAUAGAAGCAACACUGUUAAUAUAAGUAACAAGAAUUCUAUUCUCCCCGCAUAAGCCUAUACCAGACCGAAUACCCGCUGGUAGUUAACAACAAGAUAAGAUCAAGCACCCUAAAUUAUACUAUCUCAACAACUGUUAAUCCAACACAGGCAUGCAUUAAGGAAAGAUUAAAAGGAGUAGAAGGAACUAGGCAAACUGAACCCCGCCUGUUUACCAAAAACAUCACCUCUAGCAUCACCAGUAUUAGAGGCACUGCCUGCCCAGUGACAUAUGUUAAACGGCCGCGGUAUCCUGACCGUGCAAAGGUAGCAUAAUCAUUUGUUCUUUAAUUAAGGACUAGAAUGAAAGGCCACACGAGGGUCCAACUGUCUCCUACUCUCAAUCAGUGAAAUUGACCUUCCCGUGAAGAGGCGGGAAUAUAAUAAUAAGACGAGAAGACCCUAUGGAGCUUAAAUUAAUUAACCCAUAAAGUACAAAAUAUAACAAUUAACCCUGAGCACUUACCUGGGUUAUAAAUUUUGGUUGGGGUGACCUCGGAGCACAAUAAAACCUCCGAAUAACUUAAGCCCAGACGCCACCAGUCAAAGCAUAAAUACAUUAUAAACUGACCCAAACUAUUUUGAUCAAUGAAACAAGUUACCCUAGGGAUAACAGCGCAAUCCUAUUACAGAGUCCAUAUCAACAAUAGGGUUUACGACCUCGAUGUUGGAUCAGGACAUCCCAAUGGUGUAACCGCUAUUAAUGGUCCGUUUGUUCAACGGUUAAAGUCCUACGUGAUCUGAGUUCAGACCGGAAUAAUCCAGGUCGGUUUCUAUCUAUUUGAUAUUUCUCCCAGUACGAAAGGACAAGAGAAAUAGAGCCAACUUAACAAAGUGCUCUCAACCCAAUAGAUGCUAUAAACUUAAUCUAAUAUAUUACCCCACACCCUGCCCAAGAUCAGGGCUA